GACGAACGCUGGCGGCGUGCCUAAUACAUGCAAGUCGAGCGGAACCAUUCUGCCUUUCUCCUGUGGUUUAGCGGCGGACGGGUGAGUAACACGUGAGUAACCUGCCCUUCACAUCGGGAUAACUUCAGGAAACCGGUGCUAAUACCGGAUAGUUGGCCCCGUCUCAUGGUGCUGCAUGGAAAGACUGUGUCGGCUGUGACUGCCGCGUGGCCUCGCGGCGUAUUGGUGAGUUGGUGGGGUAUCGGCUCACGAAUGCCAUGAUGCGUAGCCGAGGUGAGAGGGUGAACGGCGCCACAGGGAGUGAGAGACGGCACAGACUCCUACGGGAGGCAGAAGUAGCGAAUCGUCGGAGAUGGACGAAAGUCUGAAGGAGCAACGGAGGGUGAGUGAAGAAGGUUCUCGGAUCGGAAAACGCCGUUGUGAGGGAAGAACAAGUACCAAGUAACUAAUGGUACAUUGACGGUAACUGAUAAGAAAGCAACGGCUAACUACGUG
RNAcentral lists this ribosomal RNA (495 nucleotides) under uncultured bacterium. Its description in RNAcentral is "partial 16S ribosomal RNA". It matches the Rfam family "Bacterial small subunit ribosomal RNA", at positions 28 to 507 of the family's 1533-position model. The record is from RNAcentral.